Molecule: transfer RNA, 75 nt
Filed under: Candidatus Doudnabacteria bacterium RIFCSPHIGHO2_01_52_17
Lineage: Bacteria; Candidatus Doudnaibacteriota
Also listed under: 2 other names
Description: tRNA-Asn
Rfam family: tRNA
About the family: Transfer RNA (tRNA) molecules are approximately 80 nucleotides in length. Their secondary structure includes four short double-helical elements and three loops (D, anti-codon, and T loops).
Source: RNAcentral
UCCCCGGUAGCUCAGCGGUAGAGCGGCGCCCUGUUAAGGCGACGGUCGUAGGUUCGAUCCCUACCCGGGGAGCCA